Molecule: ribosomal RNA, 329 nt
Filed under: uncultured bacterium
Lineage: Bacteria
Description: bacterial SSU rRNA
Rfam family: Bacterial small subunit ribosomal RNA
Source: RNAcentral
CGUGUAGGUGGAACUUUAAGUCGGUGGUGAAAUCCUGCAGCUUAACUGCAGAAUGGCCCUCGAUACUGAAGUUCUUGAGUGCGGGCAGAGGGAGAUGGAAUUCAUGGUGUAGCGGUGAAAUGUGUAGAUAUCAUGAAGAACACCGGUAGCGAAGGCGGUCUCCUGGUCCGUAACUGACACUGAGGCGCGAAAGCGUGGGGAGCAAACAGGAUUAGAUACCCUGGUAGUCCACGCCUUAAACGAUGGGUACUCGGUGCUGGGCCGCAAGGUUCAGUGCCAAAGCUAACGCAUUAAGUACCCCACCUGGGGAGUACGAUCGCAAGGUUGAA